Molecule: ribosomal RNA, 253 nt
Filed under: uncultured bacterium
Lineage: Bacteria
Description: partial 16S ribosomal RNA
Rfam family: Bacterial small subunit ribosomal RNA
Source: RNAcentral
UACGUAGGCAGCAAGCGUUGUUCGGAGUUACUGGGCGUAAAGGGUGCGUAGGCGGCCUAUUAAGUCAGGGGUGAAAGACGGUAGCUUAACUAUCGCAGUGCCUUUGAUACUGAUGGGCUUGAAUGGACUAGAGGUAGGCGGAAUGUGACAAGUAGCGGUGAAAUGCAUAGAUAUGUCACAGAACACCAAUUGCGAAGGCAGCUUACUAUGGUUUAAUUGACGCUGAGGCACGAAAGCGUGGGGAUCAAACAGG